UCAGACCCGUGGCAAAUAGCUCAGUAGCACGUGGCCAAUCUACCCUCCGGAUCAGCACACCCUCGGGAAACUGAGGCCAAUUCUGUAUACGGCUCCCGACCUGGAAUGGUGGGAGCCAGAAACGCUCCGGCGCCGGAGGAUGAGGCUGCGGCCGAUUAGGUUGACGGUGGGGUAAUGGCCCACCGUGCCGAUAAUCGGUCUGGGUCAUGAGAGUGAGAACCCAGAGACGGACUCUGAGACAAGAUUCCGGGCCCUACGGGGCGCAGCAGGCGCGAAACCUUUACACUGCACGCCAGUGCGAUAAGGGGACCCCAAGUGCGCAGGCAUAGUGCCUGCGCUUUUCUGGACUGUAGGGCGGUCCAGGAACAAGGGCUGGGCAAGACCGGUGCCAGCCGCCGCGGUAAUACCGGCAGCCCGAGUGAUGGCCGAUCUUAUUGGGCCUAAAGCGUCCGUAGCUGGCUGCGCAAGUCCGUCGGGAAAUCCACUCGCCCAACGAGUGGGCGUCCGACGGAAACUGCACAGCUUGGGACCGGAAGGCUCGAAGGGUACGUUCGGGGUAGGAGUGAAAUCCCAUAAUCCCGCACGGACCACCGAUGGCGAAAGCACUUCGAGAAAACGGAUCCGACAGUGAGGGACGAAAGCCAGGGUCUCCAACCGGAUUAGAUACCCGGGUAGUCCUGGCCGUAAACAAUGUUCGCUAGGUAUGACACAGACUACGCGUCUCUGUUGUGCCGUAGGGAAGCCG
This 745-nucleotide ribosomal RNA is filed under the name uncultured archaeon. Its description in RNAcentral is "bacterial SSU rRNA". It matches the Rfam family "Archaeal small subunit ribosomal RNA", at positions 70 to 814 of the family's 1478-position model. The record is from RNAcentral.